Lepus europaeus (European hare) is the source of this 545-nucleotide long non-coding RNA. RefSeq lists it as uncharacterized. The record is from RefSeq and is a predicted model, not a curated record. The transcript is spliced from 3 exons. Lineage: Eukaryota; Metazoa; Chordata; Mammalia; Lagomorpha; Leporidae.
AGACAGAGAAAGACUGACUGAAAACUCGCAUCUGCUGGUUCACACUCCAAAUGCCUGAAACGGCAAGGGUUGGGACUUGGCUGGAUCCAGUGGCAGGGAACACAAUCCAAGAAUCCAAUUACUUGAUCCUUCACUGCAGCACCCCAGAAUCUGCAUUGCCAAGAAGCUGGAGUCCAGAACCCAAGCCAGGAAGCAAAUCCAAGCAUUCUGAUGAUGCACAUUAACUGGACGUUGGACUUGGAAGUGGAGCUCGGACUUGAACCCAGGGAGACUAAAUGGAAUAUAUGGAGACUUUUGCCCAGGCCUAAUCUUCUGAAAAAUCCAGGAAUGCUUUCAGUAAAUAAAACAGUGAACGCUACUUAGAAAAUUUUAAAUCUAAAAUAAUUUAAAAAUGAAAUAAAACUGAAAAUAUAAUAAAUGUGUGAGGAAAUCCAGGCAAGGCAAACUGCAAUAUUUUCACAAUAAUUGAGACAUGUUAUCUUACACUGUCUGGUUACUGAUAUUAACAUGUAUACAAAUACAGAUAUGGUACUUCUCCAAACCCA